This 1343-nucleotide ribosomal RNA is filed under the name uncultured bacterium. Its description in RNAcentral is "16S ribosomal RNA". It matches the Rfam family "Bacterial small subunit ribosomal RNA", at positions 28 to 1378 of the family's 1533-position model. The record is from RNAcentral.
GACGAACGCUGGCGGCGUGCUUAACACAUGCAAGUCGAACGGAAAGGCCCUGCUUUUGUGGGGUGCUCGAGUGGCGAACGGGUGAGUAACACGUGAGUAACCUGCCCUUGACUUUGGGAUAACUUCAGGAAACUGGGGCUAAUACCGGAUAGGAGCUCCUGCUGCAUGGUGGGGGUUGGAAAGUUUCGGCGGUUGGGGAUGGACUCGCGGCUUAUCAGCUUGUUGGUGGGGUAGUGGCUUACCAAGGCUUUGACGGGUAGCCGGCCUGAGAGGGUGACCGGCCACAUUGGGACUGAGAUACGGCCCAGACUCCUACGGGAGGCAGCAGUGGGGAAUAUUGCACAAUGGGCGGAAGCCUGAUGCAGCAACGCCGCGUGCGGGAUGACAGCCUUCGGGUUGUAAACCGCUUUCGCCUGUGACGAAGCGUGAGUGACGGUAAUGGGUAAAGAAGCACCGGCUAACUACGUGCCAGCAGCCGCGGUGAUACGUAGGGUGCGAGCGUUGUCCGGAUUUAUUGGGCGUAAAGGGCUCGUAGGUGGUUGAUCGCGUCGGAAGUGUAAUCUUGGGGCUUAACCCUGAGCGUGCUUUCGAUACGGGUUGACUUGAGGAAGGUAGGGGAGAAUGGAAUUCCUGGUGGAGCGGUGGAAUGCGCAGAUAUCAGGAGGAACACCAGUGGCGAAGGCGGUUCUCUGGGCCUUUCCUGACGCUGAGGAGCGAAAGCGUGGGGAGCGAACAGGCUUAGAUACCCUGGUAGUCCACGCUGUAAACGGUGGGUACUAGGUGUGGGGUCCAUUCCACGGGUUCCGUGCCGUAGCUAACGCUUUAAGUACCCCGCCUGGGGAGUACGGCCGCAAGGCUAAAACUCAAAGGAAUUGACGGGGCCCCGCACAAGCGGCGGAGCAUGCGGAUUAAUUCGAUGCAACGCGUAGAACCUUACCUGGGUUUGACAUGGAUCGGGAGUGCUCAGAGAUGGGUGUGCCUCUUUUGGGGUCGGUUCACAGGUGGUGCAUGGCUGUCGUCAGCUCGUGUCGUGAGAUGUUGGGUUAAGUCCCGCAACGAGCGCAACCCUUGUUCACUGUUGCCAGCACGUUAUGGUGGGGACUCAGUGGAGACCGCCGGGGUCAACUCGGAGGAAGGUGGGGAUGACGUCAAGUCAUCAUGCCCCUUAUGUCCAGGGCUUCACGCAUGCUACAAUGGCCGGUACAGAGAGUGGCGAGCCUGUGAGGGUGAGCGAAUCUCGGAAAGCCGGUCUCAGUUCGGAUUGGGGUCUGCAACUCGACCUCAUGAAGUCGGAGUCGCUAGUAAUCGCAGAUCAGCAACGCUGCGAUGAAUACGUUCCCGGG